AAUUAGAAAGCGAAAAAUUGCGUUUAGUUUCGACCUAAAUUUCUGGUCAUAAAAACCUCUAAUUU
This 65-nucleotide transfer RNA is filed under the name Cherax boesemani. Its description in RNAcentral is "tRNA-Arg". The record is from RNAcentral. Lineage: Eukaryota; Metazoa; Arthropoda; Malacostraca; Decapoda; Parastacidae.